AAUAACUCCUAAAGGACAGUAGUUACAAAAUAGACAACCUUGUCACACCAUAAAGGACUCACCGCAAAUUUACUUAAAUAUAUGAAGUUUUACUAUUAUAGCAACACAUUUGUUGUUUUAUUAGUAAAGUGGUUCUGAAAACUUGUAAUAAUGAAGUAUUAACACUUAUUAUAACUAAGUUAGUUAGUUUUUUUUUUCGAGAACUGAGGAUUUUGGCAAAGAGCAAACAACUAACAUUCAAAUGAAGAAAGGUUACAGAACCCAGAAACUGGGUUGGAACAACAAACAAACAAGAACAAGAAAGAACAAAGCACCAUAAAGCAAACCCAAACUACAACACAAGAGCCGCCCAAGGAGUAUCUCAGCAAGGAGGACAGCACCGUGACAUCGACUGCGUCUCUGCCAUGGAGAGAACACCAAGCUACACGACCAAGAAGAUCGAGAUAUCUCAGAACGCACCAACAAAGAAAGACAACAGGGCCUAAACCAGGGCAGAAGGAAAGGGAUAAGAGUCGCUGAAGAGAGCGACACCCAGGGACAGCAACCAGUUUGAGAGGAAGAAGUAGAGAUCUGGAAAUUUGGGCGUGUGAGUCCUGAGGAACAGAUCGAGGAGAAGACGAAAAAGGGGGGCAAUCAACAUGAAGGGAAAGACAAUCUCUCUCUCUCUAGAAAUUUGAGCAUAAAGCCCAAAUCUUUGUGUUCUUCACCCGCUGCUGUCUUUUCAGAACACUGAUGGCUGCCAAGAAAAUAUACAAAACUGUAUCAGAAAUGUUGGGGAAUCUUAUAAUAUUUGGGUUGUUAAUGUCAGAGGCCAUCGACAUUACUUUGUUGGUUCCAUUUCAUUUUCAUUCAUAUAUUCUUGAUUGGUAUAUAUAUUUUCUUCAAUGAA
This is a long non-coding RNA of Rosa rugosa (rugosa rose), 889 nucleotides long. RefSeq lists it as uncharacterized. The record is from RefSeq and is a predicted model, not a curated record. The transcript has 2 exons. Lineage: Eukaryota; Viridiplantae; Streptophyta; Magnoliopsida; Rosales; Rosaceae.